AAUUUUUUUUUCAUACUGCAUUGUUGCUGUUUUUCGAACUGUUGAGUAAAUUUUCUUGUGGGAUUUAUUUCUACCAUUGUGUCAUAUGUAACUAUGAUUGAAAUACAAUGUAAGAAACUAUGGAAGACUCAUGACAAAUUUGACAUUGUCCCCUUCAGAUUUUGGAUUGAUGUUUUCUGUAGUGUAUGCAUAAUUUUAUCAGAUUCUGCUAUAUGAUAUUGACUAUAGAUUAAUAUCUAAUUAUUGAUAACAUAUGAAAGGCAAGUUACAUUAUUACAUAUGCAUCUCAAUUUGUCCGUAUACGUAUUAUAUUGUAAUCAUUUACAUCUAUACAAUUAUGCACAGAACAUAUGAACAUCACUCCACUUACAUCAAUUAAUCUAAAGAUGACCAAUUCAUUCAAGAGUGGUCUUGUUCCAUCCAGUUCAUAUAAAACCUUCCUCCUUGUUUUUUAUCUACCUCAACCCUUAACCUUUCUUCUUUGACUCCCCUGCUUACCUUCAGAAGCAAGUCGAACUUGACAUGGUCUUCAAUGACCUGCAAUUUUAGCAGAAAAAUGUCGACCGAGUAAGGUCAAUACAUCAAAAAGAAUAUAAACAGGUCUGUUGAAGGAAGAGAAGUAACGAAAGAAAGGGACAGGGGUGUGCAACCACAAGAGAUUCAACCAAAUCUUCAGUACAGAGGCCAGCAAUUCAUAAAAGUUAACAAAUAUAACUGCUCACCUUGGUUUUGGCUUGAACAAUGUCCUGGAGUUUAUACGGAGACAGAGAGUUGGACCUCCGUGUAAUGGAUUUCACAGCAUAAUUAGCAGCAUCUUUGACAUUGGGAUCGUGAUUUGGAACUUCAUACCAUCCUAAUUUGUGUCCCUCUGAAAUAAAAUUGGUACAAUUUCUCAUAAACAACCAUUGAAAUUUAAAAGAAAAUAAAGAGAAUAUCCUUUUGGAGUAACAACUAGGGUAGCAAAAUCAGUAUAAGCAAGUAAAAACCCAGUGUGGUUCAACUUGGAUAUUACACAGACAUCAGAGAGCCCUUUUUGUUAAAUAACCUGUGCGGUUCAGCUUGAAAAUUUUGGAAGGGGGAGGGAGUAUCGGCUCCUAAGAAUAUUACAGUUUCAUCACCAAGUAUUGCGAAAUAAUGGUUAUUAAGAUGAAGAAUCAAAACAAACAAAUCUCACUAGAUAGAUAACCAUCUAUGAACACCCAUAUCAACAUAAGGUACAAACCAAGAACCUUUGGCUUGUUAUAUAGCCAAACAGACACAUAUAUCUGAUUCAUACUGCAUCAAAAGUGCAAGAAAGAUAACAGGGAGAAAUUAUGGUACACCAUAGUUUCUUCUCUACAAUCAAUAAGAGCUAUGGGGCUUUGCUCAUGAACAUCAUAAAGAAAUAGCAGAGAGGAAAGAGUGGCAGAGACAGGUAAGGCCAUCAACCCAAUUUUAGAGCUUUCUAAGUGGCAGAGUAAUAGGGACUUGGGCAUUAUCGAGUCUCACAUCAGGUAGUAUGGGAUGUUCAAAAUCAAUGGAUUAUUAAGUGGUAGAAAGGGUCAAGUAAAAUGAUUCAAGCUAUGAUUAAUUCAAAUUGCAGUAACUAGAAAGUCUUCCGGUCACAUGAAUCUGGAAGUUAACCCUCUACAUUACAGUAAAAGACGUUUUUGUUAAUAUUUUAUCCUUCUAGUAAACUAUGGGGACAUUGCAUGGUUACUUGGAUGAGUUAAGGGAAUAACAAGAGUCAUAUAACAUGCUUGAACAUUUUCCAAGUCAUUUGGUAAUGACUUCAGAAACGUGCGAGUUGAAAAAUUAGCAAAACUGAUCAAUUUAAUAAUAUGCACCUCUAGACUUAUAAAUUAUGACCAAAUUCAUUUAUCCACUGCCAUUUGCUAAUUAAAAGCUAUGUUAUCAAUCUCAGAUAGCGUCACGGCGCGGCCAUCUCUAAAAAUGGAACAGAACGGGAGCGAGAAGCAGAAUGGCCGUUCUCUAAAAAUUGAAUCCCAUUAUUACGCUAGUUCCAGCCGAAUCACCCAUAUGUGACGGAACGGCACAGCCUGACGCGGUUUUCUUGAUUUUGCUGUUCCAUGCCGAGAUAACGGCCGGAAUGGCCAAGUUUAAUAACAGAGAUUAAAAGGACUUAUAAAUUCAACUCUGAAUUGACGAGACAGGGCGCAACAAAGGGAUGAGGAAAUAAAUACUAAAAAUGGAAAUUCACGAGUAGAUAGAUAUAAGCAGAAAAUCACCUUGCUUAACACCGAGAUCAGAACUCAUAAAGGGAGAGAUGACACGAGCAAGUUUGAAUUCUUGCAACUGCUUGAAAUUCAUCCACGGCUUCACCCAAAUUUUGGCUUCAUAUAUCCUCCUCUUUCCUGCAUCAACUGCUUCCAGGGUAAGAGAAUAUACUUUACCUGCUACAACCUGUUCUUUGGCUUUCAACACCGUAACAUAUUCAAGAAACGCAUUCUGCAUAGAAAAAAUACAAUAUAUAAAUAAACUUUGUUAACCCUCAGAGAUUGGUCUUGUGGUGAAGGAUUGGGUCCUGAGAAGUGCAUGCCCGGAUACCAAGAUUUCAAAUAAAUAAAUAAACUUUGAUUAAUAAUUUCUUGCAUUUCAAUCUCUUCUGAACCGAAAAGGGAAUUUAAUCUAUUUUCGAAUGCUCUAUUAAAUUAACAAAACCUAAUUUACAAAAUCCAAAUCAACGAAUCAUUAUCAAACCCAAAAGUCGCAUAUUUCAACAAUCUAAUAUAGUAAUAAAUUGAAAUCAAGGAUUAAAACCAGUCAAAAAGGGAAAAAAAGAAAGAAAAAAAACCUCUUUGUUGUUAUGUUGUUGUACAGCGAAACGAGCGAGGCUUUCGAUUUCUGCAAAAUCAUUGGGAGAUUUCUCGCCUGCUCCCAUUUUGUUGAUCCUGAUGUUGUUGUUAUCAUGUUGCGUGCACAAAACUAAGUCAUAAAGACAAAAAAGUGUAAGAAAAAUGGCAACGAAGAUCACGUGGAACUUCAUCGUCUUCAUUCACUAUUCUCACUCUGAAACAAGGAAUCGCUUGUUAUUUUGGCUUUGUGAUUUGAAUGUUAGUUUUUAUUUGUUGUGUUUUCUAGUUCUUUUUGUUUGGGAUGUUGGUUUGGUUUCUUAAUUGGAAGUACCUGUAAAUUUGUUAAUAUGUUGUUAAACAAGGAAAUCCAGCCCACAAACAAAUCUACAAUCAAUAUAACAAAACUAACUACCACCAAAAAUUACUACAUAAUCCUAAUAAGAACUAAUUAAACAGGUUUUUUUUAUGUUCCUAAUUGUCAUUUUGUGGUGAUAAUUACUGUAUUAAUAUUUAUAAUUAUUAUUUUUAUUUUUAUUAUUUUUAAGAGAUUAAUUGUUAUACAUUGUCUGUCAGUGUAAAAAAAUUUACACGGUCAAUACAUCACAAUCAUCCUUUUGUGUUAUUUUAUAUGUGAUGAUAAUAAAAGUCAAACUUCUCUAAUUAAUCAAUGAUUCUAAUCAACAGAGAAUGUAAAAUACUUUACACGGUCAGUAUAUUUCAAUUAAAUUCUAUUUUUAAUACCUAAUUAUUAGAAGUUUUUUUUUAAAUAAUCAUUUUUUUUUAAAAUUCAAAAAUAUCCAUAAUUUAAAAAAAUUUACAAAAAUGGGCAAUUUUUGUCCUAAUUUACACAUUGGCGCCACCAUAGAUGGCGCUUACCCUUAAAAGAAGGGCAAGUCGCCACUAGGAGUGGCGCCUACUCCUAUUUUCUUUUAUUUUUUAUUUUUUUUUUAAUUUUUUAUUUAAUUUUUUUUAAUAUGUUUUUAAUUAUUUUUUUAAUUUUUUUUAAAUCUUUUUUAACUUAUUUUAAAUUUAUUAUUUUAUAUUUAUUAUAAAUUAUAUUAAUUUAUAUUAAUACAUAUAUAUAAAUAAUAUUAUUUACGAGAUAUAUAUAUAUAUAUAUAUAUAUAUAUUAAUUUAUUUAUAUUAAUUUAAUUUAUAACUAAAUAAUAUUAUUUAUAAAUUAUUAAAAUAUAUUAAUUUAUAUACAUGUAAAUAAAUAAUAUUAUGUAUAUAUUUGUAAAAUACACAAGAUAUAUAUAUAUAUAUAUAUAAAUAUAUAUNNNNNNNNNNNNNNNNNNNNNNNNNNNNNNNNNNNNNNNNNNNNNNNNNNNNNNNNNNNNNNNNNNNNNNNNNNNNNNNNNNNNNNNNNNNNNNNNNNNNNNNNNNNNNNNNNNNNNNNNNNNNNNNNNNNNNNNNNNNNNNNNNNNNNNNNNNNNNNNNNNNNNNNNNNNNNNNNNNNNNNNNNNNNNNNNNNNNNNNNNNNNNNNNNNNNNNNNNNNNNNNNNNNNNNNNNNNNNNNNNNNNNNNNNNNNNNNNNNNNNNNNNNNNNNNNNNNNNNNNNNNNNNNNNNNNNNNNNNNNNNNNNNNNNNNNNNNNNNNNNNNNNNNNNNNNNNNNNNNNNNNNNNNNNNNNNNNNNNNNNNNNNNNNNNNNNNNNNNNNNNNNNNNNNNNNNNNNNNNNNNNNNNNNNNNNNNNNNNNNNNNNNNNNNNNNNNNNNNNNNNNNNNNNNNNNNNNNNNNNNNNNNNNNNNNNNNNNNNNNNNNNNNNNNNNNNNNNNNNNNNNNNNNNNNNNNNNNNNNNNNNNNNNNNNNNNNNNNNNNNNNNNNNNNNNNNNNNNNNNNNNNNNNNGUUGCAAUGAACCUAAACAAAAAAAGAUAAAUAAUAUUAUUUACAAAUAUUUAUAGAAUAAAUAUACAAAAUGAAAUAACAUCAUAAAUUUACCUAGUUGCGUAGGGGAAGGAGUAGACGUUAGGAUUUUCGGGGGCUAGCCUCGGCAAUCUCCACCACCCCCAUGUUUGGAGCAAAAAAGCACAUCCAGAAAAUGUACAGUGGUCAUUUUGUGCAUUUUUACACAAAGAGCUAUAUAGGAAAGCCAAUACAACAGAACCCCAACUAUACGUGCUUAUUCUAUCUAUGUCCUCGAGCAAACUCAAGUACAUAAAGUUUAUGCUAUUUCCCGUGCCUUCGGGAAAUAGCAAGUUCCCAAAUAAUAACAUAAUAUAAAACCUUGUUUUUAUUAUUUUUUCUUGUUCAGACGAAUCCUCAGUCAAAAUUAUAGCGUCGUGGUAGAAUUGGAGGCUCGAUAGUUUAAUACCCUGGCCCCUUGCUUUCGCAGAUCCCUCACCCUCGACUAGAUCUACGCCCAACAUUUGAAGACAUAGUUCGUUGGGCUGUUGAACAUUUCCAGUCACAGGCUUACCAUCUAUUCGAAGACCCAAAAGCAUGUACACGUCCUCUAGUGUGACGAUACAUUCACCAGUUGGUAGGUGAAAAGUGUGUGUCUCUGGUCUCCAACGUUCACACAAAAUAAGAAUAAAUUUCACAUUAAUUGUGGCAUUUACCACAUGCAUAACAUGACCGAACCCCGCACACUCUAUGUAAGGUACGCACCAUGGGUCUGGAUAAGCCAUAGGGUGUGAACGUUGACGAAAUUUCUUGGGAUCCUUUAAAAACAAACAAUAUAAACAAUCAUUAGUAACCUCAAAAUUUUUUAUUUAUAUAAACAUACGAAAGAGGCAAUGUUCAAGAAAAACUUACGAAUGAGGCAAUGUUCGCCCUAGUGCCUUUGUGUUCUUGGCCCAUGGUAAGAAGAGACAUGAUUGUAAUGUAGAACGUAGGUUUGUUGAUGAAAAGUUCGUCGGUGUUCUCUGAAAAAAAGUGUUAGUGGAUGAUGAAAAUUAUCAAGAAUGACCUGCUAUUUAUAACCGUAUUCAAAUAGUAUGAAUAUGUAUAAAAAAUUGGACACGUGUAACGCAUGCAAAAAUUUGACACGUGUAACGCAUGCAAAGUUGGCUGAGAAUCUUGCAGGCUAGGUGGAGCUGCAUCCAUGUCUUCACAUAAGACACGUCUACUGCAUGCAUCAGUAGGUCAGGAUAAGACAUGAACUCGCCACUCUAGGUGGCGAAUACAUUGAAGUCUUAUCUUGUCUGAGAAUCUUGCAGGCUAGGUGGAGCUGCAUGCAUGUAAUAAUUUUGACACGUCUACUGCAUGCAUCAGUAGGUCAGGAUAAGACAUGAACUCGCCACUCUAGGUGGCGAAUACAUUGAAAUAAAUAAUAUUAUUUAUAAAUUAUUAAAAUAUAUUAAUUUAUAUACAUGUAAAUAAAUAAUAUUAUGUAUAUAUUUGUAAAAUACACAAGAUAUAUAUAUAUAUAUAUAUAAAUAUAUAUUAAUUUAGAUAUAUUAAUUUAUAUUAAUAAACAUAAUAUAUUUAUAUUAAAAUAAUACACAAGAUAAAUAUUAUAAAGUUUAAUUAAAAUGAAUUAUUAAUUUGGGAUUUUUUACAUAUCAUGCGGUCCCUGGUACGAUCCGCACGGGGGAGGUCUAACUACUCGUCUAGACGACUCACGUGGUGGUGGUGCUUCUCUAUUCCCACCCCUAGUCGUAACGCGUCCCGUUGCCCUUUGCCGUUGUGGUUGGGUCGAAGUCCCUUCAAUGCUCUAGGAAAGGCGGGUGCCCUCUGCGCCCUCAAAGCUUUGUCUCGGUGGGACUAACUGACUCCUGUUGGGUGCGCCCUCGAAAUGUGGCCUUUGGUAGUUGAGGGUUGAAUCGGGUUGGCUAAAGAACAAUGUCUGUGUGGUGUGUAGUAGUCUUGUUGGUAAUCCUCUUGUAUACCUGUGUCGGGCUAAGUGGAGGACUGGAAGAGCCCGGGACAUCGUCGUGAUGGAAGUGUUGGGAUUGGUGUUGGUGGGGGGAUUGAGUUUGUGGUAGGUGUUGGGAUUGUUGAUGGUGGUGGGAAUGUUGAGGUUGGUGUUGGUAAUCUUCAUGAUAUUGGGGUUGAGUUUGUGGUAUGUAGUGUUGAUUUGGUUGGGGGGUGGACAUGUGUUGUGGUGGUUGUUGUUGGUAAUACGGUGGUGGUGAUUGUUGUUGGUAAUAUGGUGGUGGUUGUUGUUGUUGGUAAUAUUGUGGUGAUUGUUGUUGUUGGGAAUAUUGUGGUGGUUGUUGUUGUUGGAAAUAUGGUUGUUGCAUUCGGGGAUCGUCCAAAUAGAACGGGUCAGACACAAUCAUUUCUGGAUUUGUAUUUGCUCUAUACCAAUCCACAUAUUCCCUUGUCGGCUUCAUUUCGUUGGGCGCCAUCGGAAAUUGUAGAACAUAGUGGGCACGCUCUUUCCACAUUUUACGGAACUCCUUUGCAAAUGCCUUCCAAUUUUGGACAUACCACUGAUGACUGACUUUUUUAAGAUGCCAAGGUUCCAAAGACAUUGGGGGGCCUGGGAUUUCUUGAUGCAUUCCGAAUUGCAGUUUGACACGGUCACUUUGGUGCAUCUCCACAGUGGUGAACCGCAUGAUAGCCGUUUUUGCUGUCCAAACAGCUGCAUCUUCGGGGUUGGGUUGAUGUUCCAAUCCCAAAUAUGGUCUCCAAAUAAACUGCAAAGAAAAAAAUAAAUAUGUUAUUUAUUGAGAAUGCUUGAUAUUAAUAAAUUAGUUAGAAGAUGAAUGAUUUAGUGGUAAUACAUCUUGUGCUCGGAGACGAUCCAAGAGUUGACGAUAAAAUAUUAUUUUAUUUUUCGGGGUAAGACUGUAAUCUAGUCCAGUUGCAAUGAACCUAAACAAAAAAAGAUAAAUAAUAUUAUUUACAAAUAUUUAUAGAAUAAAUAUACAAAAUGAAAUAACAUCAUAAAUUUACCUAGUUGCGUAGGGGAAGGAGUAGACGUUAGGAUUUUCGGGGGCUAGCCUCGGCAAUCUCCACCACCCCCAUGUUUGGAGCAAAAAAGCACAUCCAGAAAAUGUACAGUGGUCAUUUUGUGCAUUUUUACACAAAGAGCUAUAUAGGAAAGCCAAUACAGCAGAACCCCAACUAUACGUGCUUAUUCUAUCUAUGUCCUCGAGCAAACUCAAGUACAUAAAGUUUAUGCUAUUUCCCGUGCCUUCGGGAAAUAGCAAGUUCCCAAAUAAUAACAUAAUGUAAAACCUUGUUUUUAUUAUUUUUUCUUGUUCGGACGAAUCCUCAGUCAAAAUUAUAGCGUCGUGGUAGAAUUGGAGGCUCGAUAGUUUAAUACCCUGGCCCCUUGCUUUCGCAGAUCCCUCACCCUCGACUAGAUCUACGCCCAACAUUUGAACACAUAGUUCGUUGGGCUGUUGAACAUUUCCAGUCACAGGCUUACCAUCUAUUCGAAGACCCAAAAGCAUGUACACGUCCUCUAGUGUGACGGUACAUUCACCAGUUGGUAGGUGAAAAGUGUGUGUCUCUGGUCUCCAACGUUCACACAAAGCAAGAAUAAAUUUCACAUCAAUUGUGGCAUUUACCACAUGCAUAACAUGACCGAACCCCGCACGCUCUAUGUAAGGUACGCACCAUGGGUCUGGAUAAGCCAUAGGGUGUGAACGUUGACGAAAUUUCUUGGGAUCCUUUAAAAACAAACAAUAUAAACAAUCAUUAGAUUGGAGUUUUAAAAAAUAAAUUAUAAACAUACGAAAGAGGCAAUGUUCAAGAAAAACUUACGAAUGAGGCAAUGUUCGCCCUAGUGCCUCUGUGUUCUUGGCCCAUGGUAAGAAGAGACAUGAUUGCAAUGUAGAACGUAGGUUUGUUGAUGAAAAGUUCGCCGGUGUUCUCUGAAAAAAAGUGUUAGUGGAUGAUGAAAAUUUUCAAGAAUGACCUGCUAUUUAUAACCGUAUUCAAAUAGUAUGAAUAUGUAAAAAAAUUGGACACGUGUAACGCAUGCAAAAAUUUGACACGUGUAACGCAUGCAAAGUUGGCUGAGAAUCUUGCAGGCUAGGUGGAGCUGGAUAGGCAUGCGUGAGAAUCUUGCAGGCUAGGUGGAUAUGACUUUGAUGGAUAGGCAUGCGUGAGAAUCUUGCAGGCUAGGUGGAUAGGUUAGCAUGCAUUGGUACAGGUUAGGUUGCACUUGUCUUGUCUAGGGGAAGGCUUGGUGGAUGUGUUGCAUGCAAAAAUGUGACACGUCUAACGCAUGCAUCACAAUUGAAUCCGUGUAUCUAGGCAUGCGUGAGAAUCUUGCAGGCUAGGUGGAUAUGACUUUGAUGGAUAGGCAUGCGUGAGAAUCUUGCAGGCUAGGUGGAUAGGUUAGCAUGCAUUGGUACAGGUUAGGUUGCACUUGUCUUGUCUAGGGGAAGGCUUGGUGGAUGUGUGAGUAUAAGUAUUCACACAAAUUUUCACAAAGGUAUUCACAAAAUCUUCACAAUAUCUUCACAUAUAUCUUCACAAUAUCUUCACAAUAUCUUCACAAAAUCUUCACAAUAUCUUCACAAAAUCUUCACAAUAUCUUCACAUAUUUCACCAAUAUCUUCACAUAUCAUGGCAUCUUCAUCACAAUACAAAAUCAAAGCUCACGUGAAUGGUGAGACUUAUGAAUGUGAUAUGUCUGACUUCCUAUUUAGAAACACCGAUUGCACUCGUUUUUGUCUAAAUAGAGGAGCUGACUUCUCUUAUCUGAAAAAAAAAAGAUUGCGUCCAAACUUAGACAACCCGUGUCCCAAAUUUUUUAUCAACAACCUUUUUUUUUCUGAAAAUAACUCAGUCAGGUUUUAUAAGUCAUUGAUUCAAAAUGACAUGGAGGCACAAUACAUGUUUCGUAACCAUGAGUAUUCUGGUUACGACUAUAUAGUGUUGUACAUUGUGUUGGAACAAUUUCAACCAACUCAGAAUAUUCAGUCACAGGUUAUUGAUCCUGUGGAUGAUGACGAACAAGAUGUUGAACACCCCAUUGAAGACGAUGUGGUUGAUGAUGCAGAAGACGUGGUUGAUGACUUGGUGAACCGUGAUUCCGAAGACGAAGACCAAGUUCAAAUACCUAUAGCGCAACGCUACUCACCGCCUGCGCACUUCACAACCCUUAACUUGGGCGAGGAUGAGCCCUCAUCAGAUAUGUUCUACAACCCAUAUAUGAGGUCUGAUGAGGAGUUAAAGAAGGGUGACCAAUUUCGGACCAAGGAAGAGUGUCUGUUAGCAAUAAAAAACUGGCACUUGAAAAACUGUGUUGACUACGAUGUUAACAAAUCAAACCCGGAAAGAUACGUUAUUUUAUGCAAGAACCUGGAGUGUGGGUAUAGGUUGAUGGCAUCGUACAAGAAGAAACAUAGUGCGUGGGUGAUAGGGUCCAUUUCUCAAGCUCACACUUGCGUCAACACAAACAUGGCACAGGAUCAUCGCAAACUUAGCCAUGAUAUGAUUUGCCAUUCCAUGAUACCUCUUGUUGAAGUUGACCCGUCACUCAAGGUCAAAACUAUUAUCUCCCAUUGUGUUGCUGUUUUCAAAUAUACACCGUCGUACAGAAAGGCUUGGUUAGGGAAAACCAAAGCAAUUGAACUGGUAUACGGUAAUUGGGAGGAAUCAUACAAACAACUUCCGCGCUAUCUGGCUGCACUACAUUUGUAUUCACCUGGGACGGUUUCUAUAAUGGAGACCUUGCCGGCACAAUCCCCUGACGGAACUCGUCUAGAAGGUAAUGGAAUAUUCCAUAGACUUUUCUGGGCAUUCCGUCCCUGCAUCAUCGGUUUCACAUUCUGCAAGCCGCUUAUUCAAGUCGAUGGAACUUGGCUGUAUGGGAAAUACAAAGGAUCGUUACUGAUGGCGGUCGCACAAGAUGGAAAUUCUAAUAUUUUCCCAAUAGCCUUUGCAUUGGUAGAAGGAGAAACGGCUGCUGCUUGGAGUUUCUUCCUUAAGAAUCUCCGAACGCACGUGACUCCACAAGCUGGCAUCUGUGUGAUUUCUGACAGGCACGCUUCUAUAGACAGUGCAUACAAUAAUCCAGCAAAUGGUUGGCAUGACCCCCCGUCUACGCAUGUCUACUGCAUCAGGCAUAUUGCUCAAAAUUUUAUGCGGGAGUUCAAGGAUAACUUCUUGAAGCAACAUUUAAUAAACGCGGGGUAUGCAUUAAACCAACCUGGAUUCCAAUACUACCGCCGAGAAAUAGUGUUGGCAAAUUCUGAUGCAGGGAGGUGGAUCGAUAAUAUUGACAGAGCAAAGUGGACUAGGUCAUACGACGAUGGGGUGAGGUGGGGCCACAUGACAACAAAUCUUGUGGAAUCAGUGAACGGCGUCUUUAAGGGCAUACGUAACCUCCCGGUAACCGCUUUGGUGAGUGCGACGUAUUUUCGGAUGGCAACGUUGUUCGUAACAAGAGGCAAGCGCUGACAUGCAGUGUUACAGAUGAGUCAAGUGUAUAGUGAUGCCUGCAUGAAGUUUAUGAGGUAGGAAUCUGCCAAAGCCAGCAGCCAUCGGGUUACGGAAUUCGACUGCCAUGACCACACUUUUAGUGUCAAGGAAACAAUUGACCACAACCAGGGGCUGCCCAGACAAGAGUAUAGGGUCCUAAUACCAGUCUGUUGGUGCGACUGUGGUCAAUUUUAGGCCUAUCGUAUGCCUUGUUCCCAUGUCAUUGCAGCGUGUUCACACACCCACUUCGAUGCAUUGUCACUAGUGUCUCCCAUCUAUAAAGUUGCAACAUUGUUAAAUGUAUACGACAAUCCCUUUCCGGUGGUAGCAUUGGAGGCAUAUUGGCCAGAGUAUGACGGGGAAAUUGUUUGGCACAACGAUUCGAUGCGGUGUAAUAAAAGUGGUCGCCCAAACAGCAGGCGCAUUAGAACUGAAAUGGACGUCGCAGAGAAAAUGCAUAGGAAGUGUAGCAUAUGUCGACAACUAGGGCAUAAUAAGAACAAAUGUCCAUAUCGUGGAUCUAGUUCCACAACAUAGUUUUCAUAUUCAUAACUCUGUGUACCAAUGCUAUUUAUCAAUAAAGUUUACUUUUUAUUCCAAAUAGAAGAUGACAUUGGAACAACAAACACAAACAUCUAACAUUAGAACAACAAAUACUAAAACAAAAACAAAUACUGGAACAAGAACAAGUACUAAAACAAGAACAAGUACUAGANNNNNNNNNNNNNNNNNNNNNNNNNNNNNNNNNNNNNNNNNNNNNNNNNNNNNNNNNNNNNNNNNNNNNNNNNNNNNNNNNNNNNNNNNNNNNNNNNNNNNNNNNNNNNNNNNNNNNNNNNNNNNNNNNNNNNNNNNNNNNNNNNNNNNNNNNNNNNNNNNNNNNNNNNNNNNNNNNNNNNNNNNNNNNNNNNNNNNNNNNNNNNNNNNNNNNNNNNNNNNNNNNNNNNNNNNNNNNNNNNNNNNNNNNNNNNNNNNNNNNNNNNNNNNNNNNNNNNNNNNNNNNNNNNNNNNNNNNNNNNNNNNNNNNNNNNNNNNNNNNNNNNNNNNNNNNNNNNNNNNNNNNNUAGAUUUUUCAAUAACCAACAAAUACAAAGAAAAAACAAAAAAAAAAAAAAAAAAAAAAAAAAAAAAAAAAAAAAAAAAAAAAAAACAAACACAACAAAACAACCAAAUAUAAAAUCUAGGGAAAUUACAAACCCAAUUAACACUUCGGUCAUCUGAUCCAUGCAUCAUUUAGGAUGCAAUCAAUGUCGCUUUUAACUUUAACCACCAACAUAACCCAUCCUCCAAGUUUUCAAUAUUUCUUGAGACCUUCUUCCAAGCCUCUGAAAUCUCUUCUAAUUUGACUUCCACCAGGCUGGUAACUCCCUCUAACCAAGACACAUCAAGGACCUUUUAGUUGGCCUCCAAACGAACGGAUGUUCCAAAAUUUCCAUCUCCAUGGGGGUUACAAGCGAGGGAAAAUUAACUGCCCAAUCCCUUUUUUAAGAUUACUGGUUCAGGAUCCGGCCGCCUUGAUUGAUGUUCGCUGCCAUGAUACGGUCUGGGGAGUGCAUGAAACUCAACUUGCAUAUGAGAAGUGAUAGCGAAAAAAUGCGUUGGUUUGAAAAAAAUACAAAGGAAAUAACACUUUAUUUAUAGGAAAAAAUCACUAGUUGUACACCAUGACUUAACCCUAAUUAGCAUGUCCUCGCACUUAUAAUAGUCUUAGAGAGAAUUUAGGGUUUCGAAUUAGGUCAUAACUUACCAAACUCUAAUUAUACCGAUCAAUAAAUCCAUAAUUAUAUUGAUAUUAACCCUAACAUGAAUAACCCCUAAUUUCACCAAAAAAUUUAAAAUAAUAUUAUUUAUUAAUAUAAUAUAAAAUUAUAUAUAUAUAUUAUAUUAUAUAUAAAUAUAUAAUUAUAUAUAUAAUAUAAUAUAUUAUAUUCCUUGUUGUAAAUAAUAUUAUUUAUUUAUAUAUAUAUAUAUAUAUAUGUAUUAAUAUAAAUUAAUAUAAUUUAUAAUAAAUAUAAAUUAAUAAAUUUAAAAUAAGUUAAAAAAGAUUUAUUUUUUUUUUAAAAUAAUUAAAAACAUAUUAAAAAAAAAAGCAAAAUAAAUAAAUAGGAGUAGGCGCCACUCCUAGUGGCGACUUGCCCUCCUUUUAAGGGUAGGCGCCAUCUAGGGUGACGCCCAUGUGUAGUUUAGGGCACAAAAGUGCCCAUUUUUGAAUUUUUUUUUGAAUUUAUGGUUAUUUUUGAUUUUUUUUAAAUUGAUUAUUUAAAAAAAAUCUUCUAAUUAUUAAGUUAAGUGUAUAUUUCAAAAUAAAACCAUAUAUUUUUCUUUCUCUUAUCUAAAAUAAAUAUAGUUCAACUUCUAAUCAUUAUUAUAAGUAAAUUAGACUUUUUCUUUUUUUUAUAUUCGAUAGUUAAUGUAUCUAGAUCAUAUAUAGACUAAAUAUAUUAAUUAUAUAAAAAAAAUCAAAUUUAUUUAUAAUAAUAAUCGUAGACUGUAAUUUCUAAAACAAAGAAAUCUCUAUUUCCAAUACAACUAUUUCAAAUUACAUCUUUUCGCUCUCUUUCUUAAUCAUUUUUGCUCUCUUUCUUAAUCAUUUUCGCUUUCUCAUCCAACAAAUUUGAGCGCUCAAGGUUGUUUUCUCUUCCCUUUCUCCUAAUUUUUACAUUGCUCAACUCAACUUGCAAUGUCAUUUUACUUUACAAUUUCAAUCUCCCCAAUUUCAUUCUCAAUUUUUCACCUUACUAUUGUGUUUUCGUAUCAUAACUCUAUGUAUCGAUUGUAAUGUAACAUAAAAAGGUAAGACAAAAUGUGAACCGUAACCAUUCUACCAUCAUUUACGUUUUGCUUUUAUCCAUUAGUGAAGAUGUGUGACAUUAUCAAAGUUUCAAUUUCAAAACUAAAAAUGUAUGAUAAUUAAUUUAUUCAUCUAUGUAUAACUUUUAUUUUUUCAAAAUUGCAAAUGGAUUUAGAUUUUAUGUAUUAAAAAAUACACAAAUUUAUUUUCGAUUAUGUGACUAUCGAAUCUGUGUUACAUUCGGUUUCAGUUUCGAUUUGCAAAUUAAUAAGUAAAUUUAUUGUUUUAUGUUAUUACUAAUCAUUUUGUAUUUUGAAAAUCAACUGCUUCGUUUAUGUAACUUUCUGAAUCUGUAUUGUUUUUGGUUUUCUGAUUUGCAUAUCAAUAGGUAAAUUUAUUGUUUUAUGUUAUUAUGAAUUGUUGCAUAUCAAUUUGAAUCAAUUUGAAAAUCAACCGUAUGCGGAUCUACUUUCGAAGGAGGCGUUGCUAACUUAGAAAGAGUUCUAGAAAGGUGCGUAAAGGUCAACCUAGGACUAAAUUGGGAAAAAGCCACUUCAUGGUGAAAGAAGGCAUAGUCUUAGGACACAUAGUGUCCAAAAGAGGAAUUGAGGUUAAUAGAGCUAAGAUAUAAAUCAUAGAGAACCUACAUUCACCUAAAAUGGUUAGAGAGGUCAUAUGUUUUAUUGGACACGCCGGUUUCUACCUACUAGGAGCCAAAAUAAUCAUCUAGACAAACCACACUGUUAUAAGAUAUUUACUAAGCAAAAAAGAUGCAAAACCAAGAUUACUUCGGUGGAUCCUAUUGUUACAGGAAUUCCAUUUGGAAACUCGAGACAAGAAAGGAACCGAAAACAUAGCAGCUGACAACUUAUCAAGGCUAGAGGAUCUAAAACCAGACCAUGUACCUAUAAAUGAUGAUUUUACUUAUGACAGACUGGUUGCGUCAAUUGACAUCGAAGGAAUGAGUUAUGAUCACUACCAUGAAUAUAUUAAAGCACAAUACACAAACGUUGAGAACGUGAUAGAAGAGGAAGCUUCCUUAGUGCACAAGACUGUACUCUGGUAUGCUGACUAUGUAAAUUACCUUGUAGACAAAGUUCUACCUCCUGAUAUGACCUACCAACAUAAGAAGAGAUUCUUCCAUGACCUAAUUUUUUUUAUUGGGACAAACCACUCCUUUUCAAAAGAGGAGUCAGUGGCCUUUUCCGUCGUUGCGUUUCUGAGGAGGAAAUCGCAAGCAUUAUAAACCAUUAUCAAUCCUCUCAUUAUAGAGGACAUGCAAGCACGUCGAAGACAUGCACUAAGAUUCUUCAAGUUGGGCUUUAUUAGCCCAUCAUAUGGCACGAAGUCCAUGAAUGGUCGUGAACUGUGACGAUUGCCAACGCACCGGAAACAUUUCCAGACAAGACGAAAUGCCCUUAAACAAUAUAUUAGAAGUUGAGAUUUUUUAUGUGUGGGGUAUAGAUUUCAUGGGUCCGUUCCCAUCUUCAAUGGGAAAUAAAUAUAUACUUGUAGUGGUUGAUUAUGUAUCCAAGUGGAUAAAGACCAUCGCCUCUCCAACAAACGAUGCACGAGUAGUUAUCAAAAUGUUUAAAAACAACAUUCCCCCCUAGAUUUUGAGUUCUUAGGUUGGUAAUAAUGAUAGAGGAUCGCCUUUUAUCUCUAAGAUAUUCGAGAAGCUCCUACACAAGUAUGUGGUAAGACAUCGAGUAGCCACACCUUACCAUCCACAGACAAGUGGACAAGUAGAGGUUUCCAACAGAGAGAUCAAACUAACUCUAGAAAAGAUUGUUACAACCUCUAGAAAGGAUUGGUCAGCUAAACUAAAUGAAGCACUGUAGGCAUAUAGGACAACCUAUAAGAUGCCCAUAGGGAUUACACCUUUUAAGCUUUUGUAUGGAAAGUUAUGUCACCUACCGAUCGAGCUGGAACAUAAAGCAUAUUGGGUCGUAAAGACCCUAAACAUGGAUUACAAAGUCUCAGUGGAAAAAGGAUAGUAGAUAUCCAUGAACUAGAAGAACUUAGGUUAGACGCCUAUGAAAGUGCCAUAUAUAUAUAAUAUAUAUAUAUUAUAUAUUAUAUAUAUAUAUAUAUAUAUAUAAUAUAUAAUAUAUAUAUAUAUAUAUAUAUAUAUAUAUAUACUAAUAUAUAUAUAUAUAUAUAUUAUAUUAUAUAAGACGAGAAUUAAAGCUGGCACGAUAAGCGCAUCACUAAGCGAGAUUUCUCAAUAGGAGAGUUAGUACUCCUUUUCAACUCCAGAUUAAGGUUAUUUCCAGGAAAAUUAAGUCCCUGGUGGUUCGGACCGUUCGAGGUAGUAAAAGUUAUGCAAUCUGGAGUAGUCGAAAUAUGGAGUAAGUCAAUAUGACUGUUUAUAGUCAAUGGGCAGAAGCUAAAGCGUUAUAGCAGUGAUGAAGAAAUAGAUCACCAUACAAGUUAGAAAUCGAAUGAGCCUCCUACUAGUUCACCUGAAGGGCAAGCUUAUAUGAACGUCGAGCUAACGACGUAAAAUAAGAGCGUCGCGUGGGAGGCAACCCACUGAUUUCUUUUCAUUUAUCCGUAUCCAAAAUAAAUAAACGAAGAAAAUUAAACCUUGUUGAUUAUUCACUAACUUUGUUUAUGUUUCUUGCUUUUCAGGCCACCUACAUUGUCCUUAAAAACAAUAUUUCCUCUAACACUUUAUUUGAGAAUGCACCACGGGGAUAACAUGAGGAUCGUUUUCAAGAACGAUGCCCAUAGAAGGCACUAUGAAGUCUUAGCCAAAAGAAUCAUCUCACCAACCCGAUACCCAGACUUCCUGUGCCUAGUAACCUUAAGACUCAGAGAUAGUGUAAGGUACAUGUUUAAUCAGAUCAGUUGGGAUCGAUUCUCAGUUGCAUAACAUCCAACUUACCAGAACCUUACAUUUGAGUUCCUAAGUUAUUUUUGUUACCAAGACUAGUACAAAACAGAGGCUUAGCUACCUUUAGGAUUUUUGGAGAUGACUAUCGACUCAACCAUCGAGAGUUAGAUGUGCUUUUAGGUUUCCAGCAUGGACCUCAUGUUUUUACUAAGGUACCUGAUGAUAUGCAAGUUGAACUAGACUUUUUAUGGGGGAGUAUCACAGAAGAUUUUCCACCCGAUUAUGAGAGAAUGAACUUCCCCCUCAUCCAUAACCCAUCCAUUAGGUACUUUUAGAUGGUUGUAUCUUAGACAUUCUUUGGAAAGGCAGAAAAUGCUUGACCUAUUAGUAAAGAAGAAGCGUACUUCAUGUUCAUUGUUUUUCAAUCUCAUCCCAUAAAUUCUGCAGCUUUCUUACUAGCAGGCUUAGAUAAAGUUGGUAACUCCAUAAUAUGAAAUAUUAAUGUAGGAGGAACCGUCACCCACAUAGCUUUAGCCUUAGGCCUACGCAACAAAGUAUCUCACCUAACUCUAAUAUAUGGAUAUAUCCUGCUAGAUCUAGACCACUGUCUAAAUACAAGCCUAGUGAGGCGAGAGGGACCUAAUGAGUUCAAGAUACUAAUUAUGAGUGAAGUUGUUCACCAUUUCACCCUUCCAAAUCCUGAAAAGACAAACGUUCAUAAUCGUGAAAACUGGCAAUAUCAAUUAGAAGAUCAGAGAGAGACGCCAACACCACUUGAGAUUCCUCCCUUGACUAAACCUCACCUUGUUCCUCCUUCAGAUGUUUCUUCAUCAUUUUCGUCAGCAGGUUCUCUAGAUAGGAGGAAUGUUGACUAUCAGCUCAACACCCUUAGGCGAGAAGUCAUAGCUCUGCGUCGUACGAUUCAAGACCAAACUGAUAGAGCAGUCGAGCAAAUGGACCACUUGUUCCAAGAAUUUCAUUCCCUACGGAGAGCAUUGGGCCAACAAGAAAAACACUAUGAGACGUGAUUUAUCCAUGGGUUUACUCUUUCCUUCAUCCCAUUUUAGACGAAAACAUUGAGGCCAAUGUUGAGUUUAAGUGUGGGGGAGGAAAUAUUUUCCCAUUUUUCAUUAAUUUUUCACUUUUUCUUUAAUUUUUCAAUUUGUCAUCAUUAUUUAAUAGUUAUUUAAUCGUAGUUCCCAUUUCAGUUGUUCCCAUUUCAGUUGUUGAGUUAUCGACGUUAAACAAAGCACUGUGUGGGAGGCAACCCACAAAUUUUUUAUCUUUAUGCAUUUCAAUUAAUUUUUUUGCUUUCUAAUUUUGCUUUUUCAAUUUUUUUCAAAAAUUUCUACACCACUAACCAUGGCGCAGGCCCAAAAAGAAUCAAGAAGCCCAAAAGAGCACAAAAAAUGCUACAUCAAGGUCCAUAGCAUUCGCCACCACAGUAAAAAAUUGAAAAAUCAAAAUCCCAGAAGCAUGGCGUUCGCCACAUAUAGCAAGGCGUCCGCCACGAACCCCAGACACGAAAAAAAAUUCAAUUUUAACCCUCUUUUUGUCUUUCCAACUGAUGUUCCUUCCACUUCAUCCACCCCCAUUUAUUCUUCCAUAUUUCCAAAACUUCUGAAUGUUUAUUCACUCUUCCAACUUCCACCCUCCCACUCCUAUUUAAACUAAACUUCGUCAUUCUCAUUUAUACCAUAUUCUUAUUCCUAUAAAUCGUCAUCCACACCAACCUCUUACACUUUAUUUUCGAGUUCUUAUCAAUAGCACAAGAAGGUAAUGUUGAUUUUAACAAAGUUAUAUUUCAGGAAGGAAAAGAUGGCGAGAGGCAACAGAAGAAGUAUGAAGCUCUGCUGAACUGGGGAAAUUAUCCCGACAAGGUAUGUUGAUGAUUCCUGUUUACGUAGCCCAAGACUGUUUGACAGGGUUCAUUGGAUGAUAAAUGUGUUAAGCUUGUCACACUUUUAUGCAUGUAGAGAUGCUACUUAUGCUAGAUUAACUGUAGAAUUUCUUAGCUCUCUGAUAUAUGCCAUACAGCCCGACACUGCUAGCACUGUCAGAACUAUUAGGUUCCGAAUGUUUAAUAAGGAGUAUGCAUAUAGUACUUACCAAAUUGCUGAGAUGAUGAAUUUUCCUUAUGGAGAAGGUGUUAUUUUUGAAACACCAUUAGAAACCAAUUAGGUGCAUAUUGUGGGGGAGUUCUGGAAAUAAUUGACAGGGUAUGCUACUGAUAGUCUUAAGGGUAAUAUAGCAUCUCAAAUAGAUAACCCGACCAUACGAUAUUUUCUCCAAAUAUUGGCAAACACCAUUUUUGGUCGGGAUAACACAAAUAAAGCGAAUGCUAAAGAGUUGUUUUUUUGUCAUGUUGUUUUUGCACCGACGCGGGUUAACUCAGACCCGUUCAUGAUAACCCAUAUGAAUAUGGUUCGCACCGUAAGGGCGGAUCCGAUUUCCUUGGAGGCUUGAUUACCUCCAUCGCUUAUGCUAUGGGUCUUCAUAUUGAGCUUGCUACCCUAGAGCCCUUACCAUCCCGUUCCCUUGACCUCUGCGCUUGUAGGCACAUGCGCUUGAUUAGAGCUAGGCUAGAUGGUAUAUAUUUAUUAAUGGUUCAUAACAUUUUUUUUAUGGUGUUAUUUUACCUUGCCUCAACCGUGCCGAUGUGCGGAAUAGGGUAAAUUAGAUUUACGAUUUGCAUGGUGAGGCCAAAUCAGAGUCCAUGGACAUUCCUGAGAAUCUCACUAUUGAUGGUGCUACCGACGAUGAGUUUGAUCAGAGAGAGCAAGCAUCUCCUAUGCCUGAGCCUCCACCAUAUCAUUCACCCUAUAUUCCUGCUUCACCUUCACACACCACACACUUUACUGGCCAUUUUGCAGGUACUUCUUUCGGAGCUACACAUGUUUCGCUUGAUGUUAUACUCAAUGAGAUACGUGCCUGGAGCGUUAUGGAUGCUGAGAGGGAUAACAUGAUUCAUUACAUGCAUCAAUAAGAAACAUAGAUGAUGCAAUAUAUGCAUCAAAUACAACAUUCAUCCGGUCAGCAAUCUCUACAAGAGUAUAAUUAUGUUGUUAUCCAGACGACCCUUAAUAGUGCUCUCUAGGAGCUCCACCGCCAGAAUGAUAUAGAUACAGAGCGUGACACCAUGUUCUGAGCUAUGCAACAACAACUUGACAUGAUGACACACAUUUAGCUGAUACAAGACCAACAACAUGACUAUGCAGUACUGCUCGAGCAUAAUAGAGAGGAUCUGCUCGAAUAAAUGACAAUAUUACAAGUAGGGGUAGAUGAUAUGUUAUAGUAUAUGCACAUCAUAUGAGUGACAUCUCCUCAUCAUCAAGGUUGUAGAAGACAUGGUUGGAACCAAGGCCAUGGCCGAUGCUGCGCUCUUCAUCUAGGUUAUUUCUUCCUUUUCCCACUUUUAUCAAAAUAUUGAGGACAAUGUUUGGUUUAAGUGUUCGGGAGAAACUUUGUUGUUUUCUUUCCGUUUUAUUACUUUUUAGUUAGAUUUAUUGAUUUUCUAGUUUAUCUCAUGCUUAUUAGGAUUUUAAUUUAAUUGUUGUUAGUCGAGUCAAUGCACGUGUUGUCGAGUCAUUUAUGUGUGAUUUCUUGCUGUUUGUUUAUUCUCCCAUUUUCUUGAGUCAUACCAAAGAAAAUUUGACUUUGAAAUUCAUUGCAAUAUUAAAAAGUAUUAAGCUAUAUAUGAAAUUGAGUUUAUAUCAUAGAGACUUAGGAAAAUCAUACAAAAUGGUAUCAUUUUAACACCUUAAGUCCCACGAAUAUGGAAGCUGAUUUGAGUACUUAUUAUGUCAUAGCCUUGAAAUCUCAUCCUUUAAUAGUCCUUAAGUAGUUUAUUUAGCAGUCAACACCAUCCUAAGCAUACACUACGCAAGAAGUCGAGCAAAUAAGUGAAUAAUCUUAGGCUUAAAAGAAAAAAUGAAUAAAAAGGAGUGUUCCUUCUAAGUUAGGUGACCUUCACCCGGUCACUUAACCUAAUGCUACAAAUCUCUUUACUUGUUAAUAUUUGAGCCAAAGUGCAAAAUAAAAAAAUAAAAUAAAGAUAAGAUCAUAUUCACUAACAGAUUAUCUUGCUAUGAGUGUGAAAUGAUAAUGAGCUUAAUAUGAUUGCACUAGAAUGAAAGAAGACGAAAAAGAGGAUGAGUAAGUUAGGCUUGAGCAUAAUAAUAUGUUUCAAAUUGGUUUGAAUAAGAGGAAUACUUAUGACCGCACAAUUGUGAAUUUGUGUUAUUAGGAAAUCCUUAGUGUGCAAGUUAGUACCUAUAGAUAUAAUCUUAACCGAAAUAGAGUUCAUGGGCCCGUAUGAGUAUUUGAGUGCCAUUGUUUUUCAUGAGUCUUACAUUAGAUGUUGCAUUUUUUUGAAGUUUUUUUCAUAUGCUAGCAGUUUGCUUGUGGACAAGCAAAGGUUUAAGUAUGAGGGAGUUUGAUAACCAUGAAACUUAUAGCAUUUCCCGACUCGAUACACAUGCAUUUUUAUCCGUUUUAUAUCCAUUUUAUGUUUGUAUGUGGUGUUAUGUUGGUAUUUUGUUUAUGUUGCAUAUAUUCUCCAAGUAGGAGUUAACACAAGAGAAAAUGAAGCAAAAUUGGUCAAAAGUGGAGAAAAGGACACAUCAACAUGAAGAAAGUAAAAAAAGAUGUUUUUAGCUUGUGACGUUCGCCACAGGGGAAUGGUGCUCUCCAUGGCCCCCUUUCCAACCACGUUCCCCAUUUUGAACUCAUGGAAUUUGCCAUGAAGUUAUGGCGCUCGCCAUGACCUUCGUGCUCAGAAUUUCAACAACAAAAAUUGCCCAGUCUUCUCCCACUCCCAUGUAUUUUUCUCAACCGAACUCUGCACGAUUUCAACCCACAUUCAACAUAUGGAACACUAUAUAUAGGCUUAGCUUUUAGGGUUUUACCAUCCGAAUUUUCUAGUAUUAAGUAGGCAGUUAAAAUCACUCUGUAAAAGUACUUAAUUGUUCACAUCGGGCAAUAAGUAAACCAUAGCUUUGAGAAUUCUAAAGUUUCCUGCUUGUACUUGGAUCAUUCGUACUUUAAGCUUGCCGUUCUUUCAAUUCCACAAGUUUUCUUUCAAGUUGUCCGGUUUAAAAUUCCCGAAAUGCAUUUUAUUUCCGUAAGCAUUUUCCCUUUUUUAAAUUUCUGCACUUAUUUACUUUAAGUCUUAGUAUUAUUAUUAUUGCUCUUAAUUGGUUAAUCCAUUUCAAUUGUUACUUUUUUUAAUUUUGAAUCUCUUAUAUCAUCAACAUCUACUAGUAUGUAUAUAUAUAUAUAUAUUAUAUAUAUAUAUAUAAUAAUAUAUAUAAUAUAUAUAUAUUAUAUAAUAUAUAUAUAUAUAUUAUAUUAUAAUAUAUAUAUAUAUAUAUAUAUAUAUUAAUAUAUAUAUAUAUAAUAAUAUAUAUAUAUAUAUAUAUAUAUAUAUAUAUAUUGCAUGCUAGUUGUUGUUACUACUUUAUAUCAUCAUAAUCAAUAUGUUUAAGUUUCUAUCUUGCAUGCAUGAAGAUUAUAACAUGAAUAUUAUGUCAAAUAUGUCCGGCUAGACCGUUUAGAGUCGGGAAUGUGAGGACCGUCGUUUUGAUGGUACUCACAUCUGAGUUGGAAAAUAUAAACUAAAUUGGGAUUCGUUUUUGUGAUUGUUAUUUAUACUAUUUAAAUUGGAAUUAUUUACCGCGUAAGCGUUAGAAUUAGAGAUAUUGGUUCCGUUUCUAAAGAGAGGAAUCUGUGUCUUAGGUGAAAAAUAUAAAAAUUAUAUUUUAAUUAAAUCAAAAGCAACAAUAAAGGUUAUUUUAAAUUGCAAAAUCAAUCAUUUUCAAAAAUAUAAUUUAUAGGAAUAGAUGUGUUGCAACAACAGACAUCGGUAAGUUUGAACCGUGGUGCUAUGCGAGCGACAACUGGUAUCAUCUUUAAAUAUGUUUUUCCACCUGAAAGCGACUUUUUUAAUAAAUUAGAAGUUCUUAAUUUUCAGAAAUACAAGCUUUAUACUUUAACAGGAUGAACCGCGACAACGACAAUGUAGAAUUUAGAAUAAAACUAGGUUCCGAUUUAGUGAAUACAAACGAUUCAUUUAAAUAAAGUUUCUUCCUAUUAAAGAAAAAUACAAUCCCAAUUCAAUUAAUAAAUUCGACAUAGGUGUGAGUACUAUUGAUUGACACAAGUCAUAUACCGGUCUCGCUUUUAAUUGCUUUUAUAAGCAAACUUAUUUUAUUUUCCGUUUUAAUUCCUCUUCUCAUCCAAAAUCCGAUCAAUCUUAAAUUUACAUAGCGACAGUAGAUAACUGUUAAGUUGACUAUAGUUUCCAUGUGGAUUCGACAAUCUUUUAUACUCCGAUACAUUCCGUGCACUUGCAGAAAGCAUCUAAGAGAAGGAAAACAAGAAGAAGCACAUCAUAUACCUUCCAGUAUUUUGUUUUCCUUUUCUAUUUUUUAUUUUUGUCCAAAUAUUUUUAUAUAUUAAUAUUACUUUUCAUGUUACUCCGACCCAUACGAACGUACGGGUAUAUUACUAGUUAUUUAUAAAAAAAAAUUUAGAAUUUUACACCGUAAGUUAAUCAUAGAUGUUGAAUAUUGUGAAAAGUUUAACUUUUAUUUUAACCAUCUAUAAAGCAAUACAAGCCGAUGAAAAUGAUGAAUUGGCGGUGUAAGUUUUUGCGUUGAUAGUGCAUAGUAAUUAAUCUAAAAAAAAUUAUGGUGGAUGCAGUUGGAAGUAAUUAUAAUUGUUUUUGAAAAAAUAUAAAAAAUAAUUUAAAUAAUUCAAUUGAAAUCUAUUUAUUUUUAAACUUUUGUGUUUGGAUAGAGAAUUAAGUUUAUUCAUUUGUAAAUUUUUUGGACCAUUUUUAUUAAAUUUUAAAAAAUUUGGUCAAAUUUAAAAUUAAAUAAAUGAAUAUAAACUAAUUUGUAAUUUUUCAAAGUUUUAAAGGAAUUGUAGUGGCAAUAUAUAUAUGAGAGAAAUAAUAUGCUAACGUGGGCAUUGCGAGAGAAAAUCUGUGUAUUUCUCUAUGAGAUUUUUGGAUAUCCUUUUUGCAAUUCUAAGAUUGGGUUAUAUAUAUGACCUUUGGGUUAAGAGAAACAGUUUUUCCACCUUCUUCCGAAAAUAUGAGAGUUAGGGAAGACCAAUUCUUCCCUAAAUUGUGGGAGAGACAAUUUCCCCCUUUAGCGUCACUGAGGGAAGCACAUGCCUGUAAGACCCUAAGUUUGACCAUAAGAUCCCUCAUGCCAUUUCAUUAACUUGACAUUAUCAUUGGGAUCAUACCUUGGUAUCCUCCUCACUCAUUAUUCAUUGGGUUUGCAUUGGGAGAGAUCACCAAGCAUUUGUGAUUGUAUCAUACUUUUUAUUUGUUUACUAACAGAAAUCCAAAAAUAUGUCUAGUGUAGCUUUAUUUCUUUUGUAGGUAGUGUGUGUGUGUGUGUGUCCACCUGUGCCUCAUCAAGCUCACAACUAGUGUAUGAGACCCUCAAAGCAAGGGAUCAAGCAAGAAAUGAUCCAAAUUGAUUCUAAGCAUCAUAUAUGGGUCCUCAUGUUCUUUAUUUCACAUUUUGAUCAAGAUUUCAUCAAGAUUUUGAUGCUUGUUUGUCAAGGAAGCCCUAAUUCAUCUCGGUAUCUUGUGUGCCAUCCUCAGCAAGUUUCUUCAUCAUUUGGUCAAAGAUAUCAAUGUAUACUCCAUUUUAAUUCAUCACAAGCAUAUAUGAUUCUCCAUGAUCCCCAAAGAGCAAAAGAACUUCAAGUUUGAAAGUUGGUUCAAGGAGGUUGACCAGAAAAGUCAACUAGUCAAAUCUAGGGUUCCCUAGACUCUAUCUCCUAUAAUUUUUGUCAUAUGAAAAUGAUUCCAAGAGAAACGUUAAUAUUUAUGACAUUAUAAACAACUUUCAUGUUGGAAUCAAGAGGUAAUUUUGCUUGGAAAGUCAUGUUUUAUGGUGAAGGAUUAUGGGUCAUUUUGUCUGUGCCCUAGAUAGAAGGUCAACUUCCAAGAACCAUAACUUACUUAAUUUUCAUGAUAUAAAGAUGAUCCAAGUUUUAUGAUUAAUUUCAAGGUGUAUUAUUCAACUUUUAUUCUUUUAGUAAGGUCAAAUUACACUUUCAAGAUCAUGUUCCAUGAGAAAACAAUAUAGAUCCAUUUGGGUCCUCAUCAUUGAACAAGCAAUUUUCCUCAACUUCUAAAAUUCAUAACUCUAUCAUUCUAGCUCCAAAUGGUGUCAAAUUUAUGACCAAAUUGAAUAUAAUUUAAAUAUAUGCAAAUUUUAAGAAGGAACCAAAGUCAUUUUAAGAUCAUAUAAAGAGUUAUUCAAGGUGGAAGAAGGGGUCAUUUGACUUUUAACUUGAAAAUUUUUCAAGUAUGUUUGAUUCCUCCAACAUCAAGGCCAUAAUUCAUCAUAUUCCAAGCUUCAAAUGAAAGAAGUAUCAACAUCAAAUUUGUUCCCCAUGAUGGUAGCUUUCCAAAGAGUCAAAGAUCAUUCCAUCUGGACAAAAAUUGAGGGACUUGUGCAUGGUUUCUUUGCAUGGCCCAAUUUGGCAACUUUUGCACUCAUUUGACACACAACUUAGCAUGACUUCAUGUUAUGAUCUCAGCAUCAUUUGUGCACGAAUUUGGACAGGUUGCAAUAGUCAUUUGGGCCUAAACACAUGUCUAUGCACCCAUGCACAUUGAAUUACUAUUUUUGGCUCAAAAUUGAAAUGGUGCAAAAAUCAAUUGCAUUGCCUAUAAAUUGAGAUGCAUUGCCUCAAAAUUAAAGGGAGAACCCUUGACCACCAAUCCCAUAGCCACAUUGCAUAGAAUACCUUCAAGAUUUCAUUGAAAUCGAGCUUCUAGCUCAACUUCUGUUUGUGAACUAGAACUCCAAGGAUUCAAAUCCAUUUUGAUUCUAAUCAUCUCCUACAAGAAAGAGGAAGUAAGACCAAGUGGAAUUGCAUCAAGAUCGAGCGUCAAAGCUGCUACCCGAAGGUGAAUUUUCCAUAAUUUUAAAUCUUUGAUUCUCUCUCAUUUCUUAAUAUUUUGACUUAAAUUUUGGUUGACUGAAGCCCUACCAAUGUAGGCAUUAAUACUGGGUUGCUUUGAGGUUGAAUCGAAGCAAUUCAGUUUGAACACCUCAAUUUCAACUCCAUAUUUCUCAUUAUAGAGUGAGAGUUGGAAAAUUUGGAGGUCAUAUUUGGAAUCCUCGUGAUUUUCUCUUCAAAAUAGUGUAUGAUCCAUUUAUUUUGGUAAGCUUUUGAUCUGAACCAGUCUGAUGAAGUGGCUGGAGAAGAUGACCGAAGCUAGGGCUCUGGUAGUGUGUUGACGCAGUCCAGACCAUCUGAUCAUGAGGCCACGUUCUAAUCUAGUACAUCCAUUUGAAAUACCACUUGUACACACGCGUUGACUGCAGUGCAUGGUGGAUGUGAUGCGCUUGGCCAUCAGAUUUUCCACCCCAAUUAAUGAGGGAGAUCCGAUGACCCUCGUUUUUCUGAUUUAAUUUAAUUUUCCAAAAUUAUUUUUAAAUACCAUUUUCUUACUUAAUUCACUAUAAUUUCAAUUUUAAUCCAAAAAAUAUGGGACUACCACCACAAUUUUAUAAAUAAUUUCCUCUUCCUAUUUCUGAAUUAAAAUUAAUUUUUGGAUUGAGUUUGAUAUUUUUAGUGAAUUUUGUGAUUUUUGUCUUGUUUUUAAUUUAUUUUAAAUACUUCUGACUUUCAAAAAUUUCCAAAAAAUAUAGUCAAUGGUCCUUUGACCUUGUUUGACCUAUGAUAAAUCCCUUGACCAUCCCUUUGGUGAUUUGAAGGGAUUUGAUGUUUUUGACCUUUAAAUGUGUAUUUUUCUUCAUUUAAAUAUUGAUGUUAAUUAUUUUUAAUUAUUUUAAUAUUUUAUUGAUUUUGUGUUGACUCAAAUUUUAUUUGGCCUUGAUCUUGGUUGAAUUGGACUUCAAUUUGAUCAAUACCAUUGGAUUUAGGGGGUUGAUGAAGUUUGAACUUCAUCCCUCAAGAUGAAUGAAUGGUAUUGAUCAAGUGAGAUUCAUCCCUGGAUCAAUUUGAGAUUCUCUUUCACUUCAUCUCUUCAUAUUCAUAUCACUUCUUCCCCAAUCCAUUUCAUGGUCAAUGAUUUCUCAAAGAUCAAAUGCUAGUUAAUUCAUCAAUGAACUUGUGUCAGAUGAAUCAACAUGAGCUUGAUUGAGAUAGUUCCAUCCCCUAUUAUUUUUGUGUGUGGUAUGCUUUAGGAGCUUGGUUUUUUAUACCUUGUGUCUAGCAUGUACUAACACCAAUAUUAUUAUUGCCCAUCCUCAGAUAGUUGUGACUUCUACAUAAGUCCAAUUACGAUUGCUUAACAUAGCGCUAAAUUUGUCUCGAAAGCAAUGAUAUUUUUGUAAGUGAGAUUGUAAGUCUCUCACUCCUCAUGGUAUUGUGUGAAGAUUUUAACUCUUUUCCAUUUAUGAGAGCUAGUGGCAUACUUGUUGAUUUUAUCCAAGUUGGAGCCCUUCUCAUGAAUGAUGUCUAUGUUCAUAUCUUUAUGCUUAUGAGUGGAUGGUUGAGUGUUCUCCAAAAAAUGACUUAAACAGUUUCUUCUUUCACUAACAUCCACUAACAUUUCUUUGUAUUGACUUUAUUUUAGUGUCAUUUACUUUAAUACAAUUUAAAUUCUUGCACUUUAUCAUUCAUUGUCAUUUACAUUCAUGCAAGUUGUUUAUGUUUCAGUCAUUUUCACUUUGCUCACUUGAGCCAUUGUAUUUGUGCUUGUGAUUUUGUUCUACUUGUGGUCUUAGGACCUUAAAAUACUCAAUAACAACACAAAACUUAAAAAAUAAAUUGGUGGAUUGUUGGACCUCUGUCUAAGACUUGGUUUGGAUCCUUGGGCUUAGAGUAGGCAACAUCCCGGAGCUAUGGAAGAACUUGGCCAAGGCCAUUAAUUUGAGACCAUUUCUUGGCCAAUACCAUUGAUUUGAUACAAGCCUUGUGAGACUCUUUUGGUUCAUCUGACAUAUACUUUUUAUUUGUCCAGUUUGUUAUUUUGAUCUUAUUGUUGUUAUUUGAUGAUCUCUCUUUGAGUAUGUUUCAAGGGAUAUUUCAUCUGAUACAUCUAAAGGACAUUGAAGACUGCUUGCUUUUGGAGUGCUUGCUUGGAUGCUUGGUUAUCUUUAUUUGAUGCCAUUUGGUCUUCUUAUUAAUUGCUUCGAUGAUUAUGACUUUGUUGCUUGCUUAACAAUCCAAAGGAAAUGAGUUUCUAUCUGGCACUAUUGUCUUGUGGAUGCUUCCCCUUGGUUAGAUCUUUUCAACUCUAAACUUUUAAAUCUUGUCUAGGAUAGUCCCUUUGUUGUACCCCAAAAUUUUCCAUCCCUUUUUGCUUUUCAUCUACCUUAUGUCUUGAGAUUCAUUCAUGUGCAUCCUUCAUGAUUAACACAUGCUAACAAGCAUCAUAGGUUCAAAAUCGUGGUUAAUGAAAAUUAAGGCUUUGGCCUAAAGAUGGUGGUUUUCCUCAUCAUGUGGGUUGAAACCCUCAUUGCUUGAUUUCUUUGGGACCUUAACUCUUGAGGCCUACAUCUUGACAUUCAUUUGUACCUCCCAACCCUAAUUAUUGGCUUUUCCCAUAUGGGAUCUUGUGUUUGACUCUAGAGAUGUUUGACUUGACAUCUAAACCCUAAUGGUGGGCCCAUGGCUUGAUAUGUAUUUGCGGAGUUUUGUGCUUGGUUUAAAACCCUAAUCAAGGAUAAUUGGUGUUCAAGUGCCUUUCUUGGUUGACUUUUGGAUUUGGGAUUCAUCAAAACCCCAAUCAUUGAUCUUGGAAGGUCAUGAAUCAUGUGAUUUACUUUGAGGGGGUGGAAACCCUAGUUUNGGGGGGGGGGGGGGGGGGGUGGAAACCUUAGUUUCUGACUAUGGCAUCAUCAUCAGUGGGGUAUACAUUCAAGAUUGAGGUUUCAUUUUAUUCAUCCGGUCCAUUAUGGAUGGUUAAUGGGCUCAAAAGAUUCGUGGUCCUGAUUCAUUGAUUGGGAUUCAUUCAAAUCUUUGCAUGGUCAUGAUAUGUUGUUUGGAUGGUAUUCGUAUGGUUUAAUUCAUAACAUGGAAUAUUUCAGAGGCAUUAUGGUACAUAUUAAAUCGUCCAUAAGAAAAUACAUUUUUUUACAACUGUUUACUUUUUGGUCAACUAGUUGACCAAAGUCAACCAUCUAACCAAAGUCAUUUUCCAACCAAACGAUACAAUACAUGUCCAUGUCCGUUUCUAAAUUCACUUCAAACCACUUCGAAUCAUGUUUAUUGUCCACCUUUUAGACCAUAUUCAUCUUAUACAAUACAUGAACUUGUGUUUUUAACCCAAACCUAAUUCACAUUCCAAAUCUCAAAUCACAGUCCAUUUGUAAACCAUGAAUCAUUUUGAAACCAAAGGCAUUUUUCAAACCAUACGCCGUGCUAAUCUUUUUACCCAUAUUCAUAAUUCAUGUCCAUCAUAAACCAUUUUUAAACCAUGUUUGUUCUUACACAAACUUUGUUCAUUACAAUAGCACAAACCGAAUCAUAUUUCCAUACAUAAUUCUACCAUUCAAUUCCAAUGUCCAUACACACUCUACCCAUGAAUUUACCAUUUCAACCAUAUGCAACCUUUGUUUCCAAUGUUAUACAUAAACCAUUAACUUUGAACAUUUCUACAUUAAACCACUAACAAAUUGAUUCUACACAUUGUCAUAAACCAAUCAACAUCCAUCUUCAAAUUUCAAACUAAGUCCCAAUAGCCAUAACAUCCACCAAUUUCCAACAUUUACAAUUCCAAUUUCAUUCAACCAUUUCUUGAAUACAUAAACAUUUCCAUUACAGUUCCUAUUGACCAAAAUCCAUCUAACUAUCAUGUUACAUACACCAUUUCCAAUCACAACACUUCCAUAAAUUACAAAGUCAUGCUACAAUUGGUACAUACAUGUCAAUAAUCAACCAUACAUUUCCAAAGUACAUUUAAAUUCAAGCUUCACAACAUUACAUUCCAAAACAAAUCCAACCGUUUUCCAUAAGUCCUAACCGCUACUACAUUUCCAUGAUCUUUAAGCCAAUCCAACAUGACAUCCAAGCACCUCCAAGACGAUGGUCCAUCACCAAACACCCUUAAACCAUGACCAAAGCUCCAUGCCAAGUGAAGCCUAAAAAACAAAACCAUAACACAUCAAGCAUGUCAAACUAAUGCAUUACCAAACAACCAUAACAAUUCAUUCAACAAUCAUCAUAUUCAUCAUAUGGCAUCAUCAACUUAGCAACAUUUCAAAUCCACACCAAGCUAAGUUCAUUACAAGAUCUAAAAUUCAAGCAUAGAAGUGAAUUGCAUUCAAUUGAUACAUUUUCUAACAACCAAGCACUCAAUUCAAAUGGCCAUCCAUAUCAAAUACAAUGUUCAUAUCAAUUUAGACUAUAACAAACUAACACUCAAGGCAAUGUGUUAUAGCUUAUUUAUUCAACAUUCACUAACCAAUGCUAACUGACCAAUCACAGCAUAUUAACAGACUUGGUACGACAACCCAAUACAGAAUUAACAUGAUAGCAGUACAUUCACAACAAGGCCAUGGCAUAACUAGCAUAACUAAAUUCAUAACAGAACCAUCUUUUUCAAUCAAAUAAUUUCUAACAAUUAACUCCAAUCGCUAUCUAACAUCACUGCAGCGGAUUCUAGAGGCAACAACUCAUAGAAUUCAUGAACAUCAAUGCAUUCCCAAGAAUUAACAUUAACUCCAACUGAUAUUUUCACAGCAAAAGUUGAAGACCCAUGUAAAUAUCACAGUGUAAUCAGGAAACUCAACAUAAUAAUAAAAGACAGACUUUUCUACUUUGAUUUCAGUUUAGUAAUAAUAACACUUAACCAUUUCAUUUGACAUAAAUUAAUAACUAAUAGAAGUUAGUUAAUAGUUUAACAUUCCAAAAGCAUUUCCUACUAACCUUUUUCAACAGUCUGUUACACAUCUAGUAGGAUUUUAACAGAAAUUUCCAAAACUAAUCUUUAACAGAAUGAUUAACAGAAUUAGGAUCUUCCAACUAAACCAACCUAACUUCCUAACCGUUUUCACAAUUGAAUAAAACUAACUCAAGCUAACCGUAACAGGGGCAUACCUUCGAAGUUGAUCUCAAAAAAACGAAGCUGAGAGUUUCCAUCUUCAUCUUCGUCUCCAUGCCAUACACAAACCCGAUACGUUCUUCUUUUAAAAACCGUUACCAAUUCCCGCGCAAAGACGAGUGAUUAGCGGAUUUCUGUUUCAGAUGUUCGUAAUUCGAAUUCAAGUGGUGAACACAGAUUCAAAGCUUGCGAUUGAAUGAGUCAGGGGAGGUCGAGUGCGCGUGUGCAAGUUCUUGCUUUGUUCAUGGUUGUGAGCAUGGGUUCGAAUGGAGUAUGGAGCCACAAGUUUGUCUAGAAGGAAUGAAUCUCCUCUGCACGUGUUGGAUUUGACAUAAAUUGGCUGAUGCAAUUUCGCGAUUGGAUGCGGAAACUCAACGUGUUCGUUGUUGUUUCACCGUGGUUCAUCGAUGUUUGUCGCUUCACCGAGGCUUGAGGUGGCAUAACGAGUGGAUGUCAAAGUCGCGCAUCAUGUUUUACGACGUACUAAGCUCUUCUGAAUAAGUGCUUCUCAUUUCCUGCUCCAUCACAUGAAGAACACGGUGGACCCGGUUUCCUUCACAUUAGGUUAUGGCCGUUUGGGCAUAAGGCCCAAAACGGACUCUCUUCACCCUCCUUCGAUCCAGUGCACCCCUCCUCUCUAGGGAUUGUUGGACAGGGCCUGUUUGCAGCCCAAAGUUCCUUCCAGCAUGCACAUGGGCUUGCCUUCGGUUGGCUUUGGGCCUUGCUGGUUUGGAUAUGUUGUUUAGAUUUGAUUUGCAAUUGUUAGAAUUUAAUUGAGUUUUUAGCUUACUUAGAUAUUAAUUUAAUUAGGUUUUAAUUAGGAUUAAUCCAUUAAUCAUAUGAUUAGGCUAAUUAGAUUUUAGGGUUAAUUAGGUUUUUAGGUUUUAGCUUAAUUUCUUUAAUAUGGAUUUUAGAUUUCAAUUAGAACUUAAAUGUAGUUUAAUCAGAAGUAAUUAGGUUUAAGUACAAUUUAAUUGAUUUUAGAAUUUAAUUGAUGAAUUUCUAACAUUAGAAUAGUGUUAGGAUUCGAUCACAAUUUUUGGCUAAAAUUAGACAUAUCCUUGUAAAAUGACUUUUUUACCCUUUAAGGCUUAUUUUGGUAUUUUGACCAUAUAAUUGCAUGAUCCCCUAGGAUUAAUUUUAACAUAGAAUUUUAAUAAGUUUUGACCAACAUAUUACAUGUUCCCUUAGAAUAACUUGUAACAUUCUAACCAUUAGAUUAGGAUUAACCUAGUUCUCAAAAUCAAAUCAAACCCUCGAUUCAAGCUGAUCAAAAGUAAUUUUGGUAAACUAAAUCCUUUGAUCUUGUAUAAUCCCACAGUCUAAUUGGAGUGACCAAAAGGCCAUUGGUAACUUAAUAAGACUUUUUCUAUAAGGUUGGAGCUCGAAGCUUUAAGUUAAACUCUCAAUCAAGGCAUCCCCAAUCAUACCAAGCAGUGAAUCAUACAAGUCACAUCAAAGGUGAUUCUUCAAGAGCAUGUUAAGUCAAAGUUAGAAUUGUGUGGCACGAGCCUUAAGCAAUAGAGAAGGAAUGGGACUGGAGAAUUCCUACCCCCAUUAUGAAUAUCUUUGGGUGCGGGACGAAUGACCCAAUUGCUCAUCGUAUUCACCUUUGUUCAUAGAGUUUAUCAUAAUUUAAAUCAUACGAUUAUCAAAUAUCUCUUUUCACCAAGCAGUGGUGCAACAAGCAAAGGACUUCACUAACAAACUUAUCAAUAAUGAUUCAAGUUGUACGACAUGAGCCUUAAGCAAUAGAGAAUGAAUGAGACUGGAGAAUUCAUACCCCCAUUCUGAAUAUCUUUGGGUACGUGACGCUUGACCCAGUUGCUCAUUGUAUUCACCUCUAUUCAUAGACUUUAGUGCAAUUCGAAUCAAAUGAUUGAUAAGGUCUUCUUCAUCACUACAAGAAGCAACAACAAAGACUCUCCUCCCAUAACUUGAAAGUCAGGAUGAGAAUUACAUGCCACGAGCCUUAAGUAGUAAAGAAGGGAUGAGACUAGAGCUUUCCUACCCUCAUUCUGGAUAUAUUUGGGUGCAGGAUGUUUGGCCUGUUGCUCAUGGUAUCCACCUUUACUCAUAGACUUUAGUGUGGUUCUUACCAAAUAACUAUCAAGUCUCUUCCACAUUCAGUCAAUCAUUUUCUUUUGCCUCAAUCAUUUUUGCUUUCAGUCCUAGUGGGUUGAACUAUGAAAGCUCUGAUUUCCUUAUUGCACUAUAAGGAAACGUAGGCAGGAGAAUUCAGAAUCUUCGCGAGUUACCCUAUUUAUUGAUCCACCAAUCAUUCUUCACUCAUCAAUCAAUACCAUCUUUUUGAGAUCAAUAUACUUCUCCUUGGACUCAUUGUACAUCUUUUUAGGACGAUAUAACGGCAGUCCACCUCAUGAAUCAAGAGUUGUUUGGAUCGCCCCCAAACAUUUAAUUCAUUCUUUUUUGGCUAAGACGCCAAUUUGCUCUUCGGUUCAGAGUCUAUCUCCUUCAUGGAUCCAAGAUACUAUUCUUGUUUGAUCUCAAACUAUUUGUUCCCCAGCAAGUGAUAUAUUGUUCCUUGUACCUAACAAUACUUUCUUUUGGGGCCCCGCUUAUACCCUUUUAGGACGAUAUAGCGGCACUCCACCUUGUGAAUCAAGAGUUGUUUGGAUCGUACCCAGACAUUAAAUUCACCUUAUUUUUUGCCAUACCCUAUAGUGGCAGCCCUGCUAGCCCACGUAUCGGUUAACGCCAGUUUUACUCUUUGGUUCCAAGUUCACUCUCCACUUGUGGGUUCCCUUGAUACCAUUCUGUUGGUACAAGCUAUACUUUUCAUCCCUAUCAAUCUUCCCUUUGUUUUUGUGGUUCCACGAACUGCGAUUGCUCUGACUUUCUCAUCGCACAAUGAGAAUACGUAGGCACGAGGAUGCGAAUCCUUGGCGAGCAUACUUCUAAUUAUUCCUUCUUCCUCCUUAGGGAAUCAAUCACAUCUUUCACGAUCUAGUAUCUACCUUCAAUCAUAAAACGUUCACCCAGUGACAUAUUAUUCCUUUAACACCGAAAUACAGUUUUCUUUGGAAUUCCAUAUAUACCCUUUUAGGACGAUAUAACGACAAUCUUCAUUUAUACCUAGAGUUAUUUGGCUCAUACCUGUUGUACCCAAAAAUUUUCCCUCCCCUUUCUCACCUAUGCAUCUAAUCACUUGAUCAGGAAAUGAUUUGCAUACAUUCAUAAUUCAUCCACAUGCAUCAUUCAUCAUGGAUUCAGAAGAAACUUGGGCUUAUAAAGCUAGGGUUUGUAUAGAUAUCAAAGCUCAAGGGCAUGGUCCGAUCACAUCAUCGACAUGGGGAAUGUGGAACCCUAAGGAUGUUGGUGAAGGCUUGAUCUCAACAAAGGUGUGACCAGACAAUCUAGGGCCUACAAAGCCCUAAAUCCUCAAGGCAUGACUUCAUGGAGCCUCCCUAGGCUUUAUCUUGGCCUCCAAAGCCCUAAUCAGAAGAUGGUGAAUCAGAUGAACUUGGUGGCUCCACUGUGCAUUCAUGACCCUUCAAUCUUCACCCUUUGUCAUUUUUGCUUGGCCUAACCCUUCUUGGAGCAUUGGUCUUGGUCCCAAGUCAAUGGUUCUAUUCAUAUGGUUGUGGAUAUACCUUUGGUCUUGGUCAUCUGAACAACCAAACACCUUGUGUUUCAAGCCACUUGUUGGUCAUGCCAUUGGUUCAUGGACACUAUGUCAAAACCCUAACCUUAUAGUCUCAUUUGAUGGCCUUGUUCAUGUACAUUAUCAGUCAAGUUAUUUUUCAAAAGUCCAACAUCCAAGUCAUAAAACAAAACAAUUUGGAAACCAACUUCAAACCAUUUGUUAAUCCAUUUUAAUCUAUUUCAUGUCAUUUUAAACCAUUACAUAUGAUUGUAUAUAAGAAAAUAUAAAAUUUGAUAUUUUUGACCAAUUGUUGACUUUGGUCAAUAGUUGACUUUUUGGUCAACUUUGACCAAAGUCAACCAAAAAUCCCAAAACCCUAAAUUUCACCAUGAUCCUCAAUCCAUUGUCCAUUUACAAAGAAAAUGCCAAGAAAAUGAAAUGACCUUUUGUUGACUUUGGUCAACAGUUGACUUUUUGGUCAACUUUGACCAAAGUCAACCUCCCCAUUUUUUGGUCAUCCAAAACCUAAUCUAGCCUUUGCCUUGAUUCUUCAUCCAAUUUUCAUGAUUGUUUGUGUUAUCUUUUGGUUGCUUCAUUUCCAAGUAAACGGUCUUGUUUCUACCUCAUGCAUACCAUGCCUUGCUUGACAUGUUGGCUCAUCUAGUCUUGGCCUUAGUUUGCCAUGAACCAGGUCUUAAUACAAUAUAAUGCAGCAUCAAUAAAUCCAUCAUCUAAUGCCUAAUCCAAAUGCAAUGUCAUGCUACAAUGAAAAGCUUGGACUCGUCAUAUGGUAACGUGUGAUACAUCAGUUCUUGCCCUGGCUUGCUGCAGUGUACAUGUUCAACAACCCUGCAACAUCCCAUGAUUGGCUGCAGCCAUAUGCCUGCAGCAUCUUGAGCCUUUGAGUGGCAUUCAGUCCGUCAAUAGAAAAUAGGCCAUAGCCAUUUCAAACACAGCUAGUAUUGCUACAUCAUCAUGACAAUCAGGCAUCCAAAUGGUUCAGCAGCUUGAACAUCAGACCAUUGCAACAUGCAACCUCCAUAAUCUUGUUGCAACAACCAUAACCUAUCCUGCAGAAAAGCCAACUCACGACCAAAAAC
This 35510-nucleotide long non-coding RNA is filed under the name Lathyrus oleraceus (garden pea). Its description in RNAcentral is "Pisum sativum (pea) long non-coding RNA (PSAT_LNC009864)". The record is from RNAcentral. Lineage: Eukaryota; Viridiplantae; Streptophyta; Magnoliopsida; Fabales; Fabaceae.